This 465-nucleotide ribosomal RNA is filed under the name uncultured Lactobacillus sp. Its description in RNAcentral is "bacterial SSU rRNA". It matches the Rfam family "Bacterial small subunit ribosomal RNA", at positions 338 to 795 of the family's 1533-position model. The record is from RNAcentral. Lineage: Bacteria; Bacillati; Bacillota; Bacilli; Lactobacillales; Lactobacillaceae.
CCUACGGGUGGCUGCAGUAGGGAAUCUUCCACAAUGGACGCAAGUCUGAUGGAGCAACGCCGCGUGAGUGAAGAAGGUCUUCGGAUCGUAAAACUCUGUUGUUAGAGAAGAACACGAGUGAGAGUAACUGUUCAUUCGAUGACGGUAUCUAACCAGCAAGUCACGGCUAACUACGUGCCAGCAGCCGCGGUAAUACGUAGGUGGCAAGCGUUGUCCGGAUUUAUUGGGCGUAAAGGGAACGCAGGCGGUCUUUUAAGUCUGAUGUGAAAGCCUUCGGCUUAACCGGAGUAGUGCAUUGGAAACUGGAAGACUUGAGUGCAGAAGAGGAGAGUGGAACUCCAUGUGUAGCGGUGAAAUGCGUAGAUAUAUGGAAGAACACCAGUGGCGAAAGCGGCUCUCUGGUCUGUAACUGACGCUGAGGUUCGAAAGCGUGGGUAGCAAACAGGAUUAGAUACCCCGGUAGUC